UGGGGAGUAGCCAAGUGGUAAGGCAACGGCCUUUGAAGCCGUCAUUCGUAGGUUCGAACCCUACCUCCCCAGCAA
This 75-nucleotide transfer RNA is filed under the name Candidatus Berkelbacteria bacterium RBG_13_40_8. RNAcentral's name for it is "tRNA-Gln". It matches the Rfam family "tRNA". Rfam says of the family: Transfer RNA (tRNA) molecules are approximately 80 nucleotides in length. Their secondary structure includes four short double-helical elements and three loops (D, anti-codon, and T loops). The record is from RNAcentral. Lineage: Bacteria; Candidatus Berkelbacteria.